UACGGAGGGGGCUAGCGUUGUUCGGAAUUACUGGGCGUAAAGCGUACGUAGGCGGCUUUGUAAGUUAGAGGUGAAAGCCCGGGGCUCAACUCCGGAAUUGCCUUUAAGACUGCAUCGCUUGAAUCCAGGAGAGGUGAGUGGAAUUCCGAGUGUAGAGGUGAAAUUCGUAGAUAUUCGGAAGAACACCAGUGGCGAAGGCGGCUCACUGGACUGGUAUUGACGCUGAGGUGCGAAAGCGUGGGGAGCAAACAGG
Molecule: ribosomal RNA, 253 nt
Filed under: uncultured bacterium
Lineage: Bacteria
Description: partial 16S ribosomal RNA
Rfam family: Bacterial small subunit ribosomal RNA
Source: RNAcentral